GGAUACCGCGUUGCUAGACGUCGUAGGUGCAAGUCUCGGGUUGGGAUCCAACACAGGGUCACAAAGGAGGACUCAAUGAAGUGGUUUCAGGUCAAAUAUGAAGGUGUUAUCCUUAACAAGUCCUCAAACAUCCAGUAAGUCGAGAGCCGUCUGCUGGAUCAGUUUAUCUGACAGCAAGUUUUUUGUUUAUGCAUUUUGUAGACCGAAGUCUAGUUACUUCUAGAAUUGAAUAGUUUUCAAGAGUUGCUGUUAUUUGGCACAGUAUGCUUGUUUUCAUUUUUGGUUUAUGAGACCAAUUCAAUCUUUAAUAUAAUCCUUU
This 319-nucleotide unclassified non-coding RNA is filed under the name Hevea brasiliensis (rubber tree). The record is from RNAcentral. Lineage: Eukaryota; Viridiplantae; Streptophyta; Magnoliopsida; Malpighiales; Euphorbiaceae.